RNAcentral lists this ribosomal RNA (269 nucleotides) under uncultured prokaryote. RNAcentral's name for it is "partial 16S ribosomal RNA". It matches the Rfam family "Bacterial small subunit ribosomal RNA", at positions 524 to 792 of the family's 1533-position model. The record is from RNAcentral.
UACGGAGGUGGCAAGCGUUACUCGGUUUGACUGGGUGUAAAGGGUCCGUAGGCGGCCUGUUAAGUGAAAGGUGAAAUCCUUCGGCUCAACUGAAGAAUUGCCUUUUAAACUGCCAGGCUAGAGGAUGGUAGAGGAAAGUGGAACUGUUGGUGUAAAGGUGAAAUUUGUGGAUAUCAACAGGAACGCCCGUAGUGAAGACGACUUUCUGGACCAUUCCUGACGCUCAGGGACGAAAGCUAGGGGAGCAAACAGGAUUAGAUACCCGAGUA